AGAGUUUGAUCCUGGCUCAGAAUGAACGCUGGCGGCGUGCUUAACACAUGCAAGUCGAACGGUAGCAGAAGAGAGCUUGCUUUCUUGCUAACGAGUGGCGCACGGGUGAGUAAUGCAUAGGUAACGUGCCCCUUAGUCUGGGAUAGCCACUGGAAACGGUGAAUAAUACCGGAUACUCCUUCUGCCUUGAUGGCAGUCGGGAAAGUUUUUCGCUAAGGGAUCGGCCUAUGUCCUAUCAGGUAGUUGGUGAGGUAAAAGCUCACCAAGCCUAUGACGGGUAGCGGGUCUGAGAGGAUGAUCCGCCACACUGGUACUGAGACACGGACCAGACUCCUACGGGAGGCAGCAGUGGGGAAUAUUGCACAAUGGACGAAAGUCUGAUGCAGCAGCGCCGCGUGGAGGAUGACACAUUUCGGUGCGUAAACUCCUUUUAUAUGAGAAGAUAAUGACGGAAUCAUAUGAAUAAGCACCGGCUAACUCCGUGCCAGCAGCCGCGGUAAUACGGAGGGUGCAAGCGUUAUUCGGAAUCACUGGGCGUAAAGGGUGCGUAGGCGGUUUGGAAAGUCAGGUGUGAAAUCCUACAGCUUAACUGUAGAACUGCUCUUGAAACUUCCAGACUAGAAUACUGAAGGGGCAGAUGGAAUUAGUGGUGUAGGGGUAAAAUCCGUAGAUAUCACUAGGAAUACCGAAAGCGAAAGCGAUCUGCUGGGAAGUUAUUGACGCUGAGGCACGAAAGCGUGGGGAGCAAACGGGAUUAGAUACCCCGGUAGUCCACGCCCUAAACGAUGAAUGCUAGUCGUCGGAAAGCUCGUCUUUUCGGUGAUGCAGUUAACACAUUAAGCAUUCCGCCUGGGGAGUACGGUCGCAAGAUUAAAACUCAAAGGAAUAGACGGGGACCCGCACAAGUGGUGGAGCAUGUGGUUUAACUCGAAAAUACGCGAAGAACCUUACCUAGCCUUGACAUUGAUAGAAUCUGAUAGAGAUAUCGGAGUGCCUGCUUGCAGGAACUUGAAAACAGGUGCUGCACGGCUGUCGUCAGCUCGUGUCGUGAGAUGUUGGGUUAAGUCCCGCAACGAGCGCAACCCUCGUCGUUAGUUGCUAACAGUUCGGCUGAGCACUCUAGCGAGACUGCCUUCGCAAGGAGGAGGAAGGUGAGGACGACGUCAAGUCAUCAUGGCCCUUAUGGCUAGGGCUACACACGUGCUACAAUG
This 1211-nucleotide ribosomal RNA is filed under the name metagenome. RNAcentral's name for it is "bacterial SSU rRNA". It matches the Rfam family "Bacterial small subunit ribosomal RNA", at positions 8 to 1232 of the family's 1533-position model. The record is from RNAcentral.